Molecule: ribosomal RNA, 464 nt
Filed under: Vreelandella stevensii
Lineage: Bacteria; Pseudomonadati; Pseudomonadota; Gammaproteobacteria; Oceanospirillales; Halomonadaceae
Description: partial 16S ribosomal RNA
Rfam family: Bacterial small subunit ribosomal RNA
Source: RNAcentral
CCUACGGGAGGCAGCAGUGGGGAAUAUUGGACAAUGGGCGAAAGCCUGAUCCAGCCAUGCCGCGUGUGUGAAGAAGGCCUUCGGGUUGUAAAGCACUUUCAGUGGGGAAGAAAGCCUUGGGGCUAAUACCCUCGAGGAAGGACAUCACCCACAGAAGAAGCACCGGCUAACUCCGUGCCAGCAGCCGCGGUAAUACGGAGGGUGCGAGCGUUAAUCGGAAUUACUGGGCGUAAAGCGCGCGUAGGCGGUCUGAUAAGCCGGUUGUGAAAGCCCCGGGCUCAACCUGGGAACGGCAUCCGGAACUGUCAGGCUAGAGUGCAGGAGAGGAAGGGAGAAUUCCCGGUGUAGCGGUGAAAUGCGUAGAGAUCGGGAGGAAUACCAGUGGCGAAGGCGGCCUUCUGGACUGACACUGACGCUGAGGUGCGAAAGCGUGGGUAGCAAACAGGAUUAGAUACCUAGUAGUC